UACGUAGGUGACAAGCGUUGUCCGGAUUUACUGGGCGUAAAGAGCGCGCAGGCGGUCGAUCAAGUCGAGUGUGAAAGCCCCCGGCUCAACUGGGGAGGGUCAUUCGAAACUGGUCGACUCGAAGGCAGGAGAGGGUAGUGGAAUUCCCGGUGUAGUGGUGAAAUGCGUAGAUAUCGGGAGGAACACCAGUGGCGAAGGCGACUGCCUGGCCUGUUCUUGACGCUGAGGAGCGAAAGCUAGGGGAGCAAACGGG
Molecule: ribosomal RNA, 253 nt
Filed under: uncultured bacterium
Lineage: Bacteria
Description: partial 16S ribosomal RNA
Rfam family: Bacterial small subunit ribosomal RNA
Source: RNAcentral